Pelodiscus sinensis (Chinese soft-shelled turtle) is the source of this 644-nucleotide non-coding RNA. Lineage: Eukaryota; Metazoa; Chordata; Testudines; Trionychidae. The record is from RefSeq and is a predicted model, not a curated record.
UUGCUUCUGCCAGAAUCCAUGUUAGGGUUGUUGGGAUGAAUUCUGGUGAGCUUACUAUUAAUCAUGUAGGUUCUUUUAUUGUUUUCAUAUAUUUUCUCUGCAAUGCUUUUUACCCUAAGAAUAAAACAGGGUUGCAUAGGAAGAACUGUAUAGUACUUAUAACUUUUGACAAUCACACUAUUAUCGGUCUUGGAAGAGAAACAAGCAGAGGUGGAUGGGAGGUCUAUUUCUUCUGGGAAUAAUAUAGUGAAGGCAGGGAACGGUGCAUCCUGAAAAUACCCCCCAGUAGAAACAGAAAGAGACAUGUAUCUGCUGAAAGCCCGAGAAUGAUGCCCAUGCAGGACCACUGAAGAGAAAUACAGAUGCUGUUACCCUGAACUGUGACAAACAGAACUAUGUAGGUCUUGGAAAAUACCUGGAAAGAAAACAAUUCUUACCCUUGUGGUAGUGGUGGAAGGAGCUCAAGCUUGCAUCUAUAGCAACAGAUACUGGUCCCACUGAAGCCACUGUCUUUUCAAGGGCCCCAUGUAUAGCAAGAUGGAUAUAAAUUCUGAUGCAAUGAUGGAGUCUCCUGCUUCCUUUGGCACUUUGAGAAUAUUGCCACACAUUCAGGUAAAAUUCAAAAUAUGGGGUUUUAUUCAAUU